This 292-nucleotide ribosomal RNA is filed under the name uncultured bacterium. RNAcentral describes it as "partial 16S ribosomal RNA". It matches the Rfam family "Bacterial small subunit ribosomal RNA", at positions 505 to 796 of the family's 1533-position model. The record is from RNAcentral.
GUGUCAGCCGCCGCGGUAAGACGGAGGGGGCAAGCGUUGUCCGGAAUCACUGGGCGUAAAGCGCACGUAGGUGGUCCGCUGCGUCGGUGCUGAAACCUCUCGGCUUAACCGAGAGACGCGUGCCGAUACGAGCAGACUCGAGGCAGUGAGAGGGUAGCGGAAUUCCGGGUGUAGUGGUGAAAUGCGUAGAGAUCCGGAGGAACGCCUGAGGCGAAAGCGGCUACCUGGCACUGACCUGACACUGAGGUGCGAAAGCGUGGGGAGCGAACCGGAUUAGAUACCCGGGUAGUCC